GGCUACCUGGCGCAAUGGUAGCGCGUUUGGCUUCGAUCGCCGACGGCUACGUCACAGAAUGUGACCAAAAGGUUGCAGGUUCGAGUCCUGCGGUGGUCA
Molecule: transfer RNA, 99 nt
Organism: Trametes versicolor FP-101664 SS1
Lineage: Eukaryota; Fungi; Basidiomycota; Agaricomycetes; Polyporales; Polyporaceae
Rfam family: tRNA
About the family: Transfer RNA (tRNA) molecules are approximately 80 nucleotides in length. Their secondary structure includes four short double-helical elements and three loops (D, anti-codon, and T loops).
Source: Rfam